UACGUAGGGUGCGAGCGUUGUCCGGAAUUACUGGGCGUAAAGAGCUUGUAGGUGGUUUGUCGCGUUGUUCGUGAAAUCUCACGGCUUAACUGUGAGCGUGCGGGCGAUACGGGCAGACUAGAGUUCGGUAGGGGAGACUGGAAUUCCUGGUGUAGCGGUGAAAUGCGCAGAUAUCAGGAGGAACACCGGUGGCGAAGGCGGGUCUCUGGGCAACAACUGACGCUGAGGAGCGAAAGCGUGGGGAGCGAACAGG
RNAcentral lists this ribosomal RNA (253 nucleotides) under uncultured bacterium. RNAcentral's name for it is "partial 16S ribosomal RNA". It matches the Rfam family "Bacterial small subunit ribosomal RNA", at positions 524 to 776 of the family's 1533-position model. The record is from RNAcentral.